RNAcentral lists this ribosomal RNA (253 nucleotides) under uncultured bacterium. RNAcentral's name for it is "partial 16S ribosomal RNA". It matches the Rfam family "Bacterial small subunit ribosomal RNA", at positions 524 to 776 of the family's 1533-position model. The record is from RNAcentral.
UACGGAGGGUGCAAGCGUUAAUCGGAAUUACUGGGCGUAAAGCGUGCGCAGGCGGUGAUGUAAGACAGGUGUGAAAUCCCCGGGCUUAACCUGGGAACUGCAUUUGUGACUGCAUCGCUGGAGUGCGGCAGAGGGGGAUGGAAUUCCGCGUGUAGCAGUGAAAUGCGUAGAUAUGUGGAGGAAUACCGAUGGCGAAGGCAGCCCCCUGGGAUAACACUGACGCUCAUGCACGAAAGCGUGGGGAGCAAACAGG